AGAGCGAACGCUGGCGGCAGGCCUAACACAUGCAAGUCGAACGGACCCUUCGGGGUUAGUGGCGGACGGGUGAGUAACACGUGGGAACGUGCCUUUAGGUUCGGAAUAGCUCCUGGAAACGGGUGGUAAUGCCGAAUGUGCCCUUCGGGGGGAAAGAUUUAUCGCCUUAGUAGCGGCCCGCGUCUGAUUAGUCUUGUUGGUGAGGUAAUGGCUCACCAAGGCUACGAUCAGUAGCUGGUCUGAGAGGAUGACCAGCCACAUUGGGACUGAGACACGGCCCAAACUCCUACGGGAGGCAGCACGUGGGGAAUACUUGCGCAAUGGGCGAAAGCCUGACGCAGCCAUGCCGCUGUAUGACUGAAGGUCUUAGGA
This 372-nucleotide ribosomal RNA is filed under the name uncultured soil bacterium. RNAcentral describes it as "bacterial SSU rRNA". It matches the Rfam family "Bacterial small subunit ribosomal RNA", at positions 26 to 422 of the family's 1533-position model. The record is from RNAcentral.